RNAcentral lists this ribosomal RNA (468 nucleotides) under uncultured bacterium. Its description in RNAcentral is "partial 16S ribosomal RNA". The stretch from base 20 to 332 matches the Rfam family "Bacterial small subunit ribosomal RNA", at positions 47 to 358 of the family's 1533-position model. The record is from RNAcentral.
GACGAACGCUGGCGGCGUGCUUAACACAUGCAAGUCGAACGGAAAGGCCCUGCUUUUGUGGGGUGCUCGAGUGGCGAACGGGUGAGUAACACGUGAGUAACCUGCCCUUGACUUUGGGAUAACUUCAGGAAACUGGGGCUAAUACCGGAUAGGAGCUCCUGCUGCAUGGUGGGGGUUGGAAAGUUUCGGCGGUUGGGGAUGGACUCGCGGCUUAUCAGCUUGUUGGUGGGGUAGUGGCUUACCAAGGCUUUGACGGGUAGCCGGCCUGAGAGGGUGACCGGGGGGAGUGGGAAGGGGCGAGGGGGCAGACGGGUAGGGGAGGAAGGGGGGGGGAGCAGUGAAGAGGGGGCGGGAGGCAGACGCAGGAGGGGCGGGUGAGGGAUGAGGGCGUGCGGGGGGAAAACCGAUGUCGCCGGAAAGAGGGCGGGAGUGAAGGGAAGGAGUAAGGAAGCAAAGGGGAAUGAAGGG